AUCGCCACAGCAGCAGCAUAGGAGAGGACGUGGUCACACGACGGGAUUUUUAUCGGCCUCGGUAGAAGAAGCGUUGCCUAUGUUUACACAAUAUAUGUGUUAGUUCACUCCACUUAUUUCGGUUCAUUUCACUAACCCCAUAUUUUUUUCACAAGCACCAUCACAUAACGGACCACCACCAUAAGUGGUUAGUUCUUUUGUUCCCUCAGGUACAUAUUUCCUUGCACUGACGUCCCCCGCAUACUUCACCCUUAUUUUGUCAUCGAUGCUGACCUAGAU
RNAcentral lists this long non-coding RNA (279 nucleotides) under Gossypium barbadense (sea-island cotton). Its description in RNAcentral is "long non-coding RNA (GBAR_LNC006767)". The record is from RNAcentral. Lineage: Eukaryota; Viridiplantae; Streptophyta; Magnoliopsida; Malvales; Malvaceae.